CUGGGAUCGGGGAGCAACUGAAGGCCUGGCUGCUGGAAUGCUCCUGAAACACAUUAGGAAUCUGAAGAGAAGAUGGCAAAAGAGUCUGAGAGGCAGUGGCCAGAAGGAGAAGGAAAGCAGGUGGAUGUGAAGAAAGUGUUCAACGUGGAGGGAGGAACCAGCCAUGUCAAAUGAUGCUGACAGCCAGGCAAGAUGAGGACCAAGAAAUGUCCACUGCAUUUAGCAAAAUGAGGACAUUGGUGACCUUGACAAGAACAGUGUCAGGGAUGACAGUGUGAUUGGGGUGGAUUCAAGGGAGAAUGGGAGGAGAGAAUUUGGAGAUGAUGAGUCCAGACAAUCAUUUUGGAAGUGUAGGAAGCUGAGGCAUCACCCGAGAAGAAGGCUCAGCGAGUCCGUGUAAGGCAAGCGGGACUGUAAGCUCCAUGAGGACAGGAACCUUGUCUCUUGUUCGCCAUCGCCCCGCUGUGUGAGCACAGUGCUAGGGAUGUACUAGGUGUUCAAAAGGCAUAUAUUGGAUGAUGAGCUAAUGAAUGGCAAAAUGGGCAGAUUAUCACAGUACCUGAAACCACAGGACCUCACCCUAAAUGGGCACAGGCCAGAUGCCCAGUGCUUUUUUUUUUUUUUUUUUUUUGAGAUGUGGUCUCACUCUGUUGCUCAGCCUGGAGUGCAGUGGCGCAAUCACCAACCACUGCAGCCUCGACUUCCUGGGUUCAGGCAAUCCUCCCACCUCAGCUUCCUGAGCAGCUGGGACUACAGGUGUGCACCACCACACCCAGCUAAUUUUUGUACUUUUUGUAGAGACAGGGCUUUGCCAUGUUGCCCAGGCUGUUAUCGAAUUCCUGUGCUCAAGUGAUCCACCCACCUCCACCUCCAAAAAUGCUGGGAUUACAGGCGUGAGCCACCAUGCCUAGCCUGCCCGGUGCUAUUCUGAUUCAUACACUUAUAUUUAUAGCCAUCAAAUCUCAGGGCUUCCUUGGGUCCCUGGGCGACCUCUGGCCAGUCUCUUUCCUGCUCUUGCCUCUCUCACCGAGCUUAGAAGAGGCUAGGCUUAGGGCUUCUUGUAAAAUGACCAGCUUUCUCUAAUUGAAGACCAGGGUACCCUAUCACAUUUGUAUCUAUUCUUUGCUCUUUUUCUCUUUCCUAGUGACCCUCAUGUUGUCAUAUUUGUUGCCAAGCUCACUAAGGAGGGCACCACGGGACCAGGGUUGUCACCUCUAGGCAGAGGGGAAGCUUGAAAAUGACAACACAUGGCCCUAGGAUGUUCAUAGGCACCAUCACAAUUCAACUGCUUCCUCAAGGCCCAGGGAAUAUUUUUCUUUGCAAACUACUAGUAUUCUAUCAGUAUGACUAGUAGUUUAAAUUGUUUGGAAUCUUCUGGUCCAAGGCAGAGCUGUGGGGCUGUGGAGGCAAAGUCCUGCCUGAAAUGGGACCCCCUGCAGGGUGCCUGAAGUCUAAGGGUCUGGGUCCUCAGCCACGGAUCACACAGCCUGGAGCCUGUGAGUGGGGAGCCCCUGCCACACUUCCCUCAGCCAGAAUCCUAAACCCGCAGGAGUCCCGGGGCUCUGCGACACUCUCUAGCCCAACUCUCUUCAACACCAAACCCCUUAUGCAUCUGUCAGAUGGUCCUUCAACUUCUGGGUGAAGUGCCGGUUUAAAAGUGAACUGCCAGAGAAGCAGUCGCUCCAGAUGUCUUCAAAGGCCAGUGUCUGUAACCCCAUCUGUUCUUACCUCAAAGGCCAGGCUCCCAUCCAUCAUGAUGGGGAGAGGUGGGAAAGGGCUGGCUGGUCCUGUCAACUCCGAUAAACAGGUGAAACACUGGCCAGGUGUU
Molecule: long non-coding RNA, 1828 nt
Filed under: Homo sapiens (human)
Lineage: Eukaryota; Metazoa; Chordata; Mammalia; Primates; Hominidae
Description: HSALNT0066752
Source: RNAcentral